This is a non-coding RNA of Podarcis lilfordi (Lilford's wall lizard), 287 nucleotides long. The record is from the annotation of a GenBank genome assembly. NCBI's taxonomy places the organism in Eukaryota, Metazoa, Chordata, Lepidosauria, Squamata, Lacertidae.
CCUCUGUCGUCCCCUUCUCCUUGCGCCCUCCAUCUUUCCCAACAUCAGGGUCUUUUCCAGGGAGUCUUCUCUUCUCAUGAGGUGGCCAAAGUGUUGGAGUCUCAGCUUCAGGAUCUGUCCUUCCAGUGAGCACUCAGGGCUGAUUUCCUUCAGAAUGGAGAGGUUGGAUCUUCUUGCAGUCCAUGGGACUCUCCAGAGUCUCCUCCAGCACCAGAAUUCAAAAGCAUCCAUUCUUCAGCGAUCAGCCUUCUUUAUGGUCCAGCUCUCACUUCCAUACAUCACUAGAG